CGGACGGGUGAGUAAUGUCUGGGAAGCUGCCUGAUGGAGGGGGGUAACUACUGGAAACGGUAGCUAAUACCGCAUAACGUCGCAAGACCAAAGAGGGGGACCUUCGGGCCUCUUGCCAUCGGAUGUGCCCAGAUGGGAUUAGCUAGUAGGUGGGGUAAAGGCUCACCUAGGCGACGAUCCCUAGCUGGUCUGAGAGGAUGACCAGCCACACUGGAACUGAGACACGGUCCGG
RNAcentral lists this ribosomal RNA (232 nucleotides) under uncultured bacterium. Its description in RNAcentral is "partial 16S ribosomal RNA". It matches the Rfam family "Bacterial small subunit ribosomal RNA", at positions 99 to 334 of the family's 1533-position model. The record is from RNAcentral.